Molecule: ribosomal RNA, 615 nt
Filed under: Acinetobacter rhizosphaerae
Lineage: Bacteria; Pseudomonadati; Pseudomonadota; Gammaproteobacteria; Moraxellales; Moraxellaceae
Description: bacterial SSU rRNA
Rfam family: Bacterial small subunit ribosomal RNA
Source: RNAcentral
GAGCCUAAGUCGGAUUAGCUAGUUGGUGGGGUAAAGGCCUACCAAGGCGACGAUCUGUAGCGGGUCUGAGAGGAUGAUCCGCCACACUGGGACUGAGACACGGCCCAGACUCCUACGGGAGGCAGCAGUGGGGAAUAUUGGACAAUGGGCGCAAGCCUGAUCCAGCCAUGCCGCGUGUGUGAAGAAGGCCUUAUGGUUGUAAAGCACUUUAAGCGAGGAGGAGGCUACUUUAGUUAAUACCUAGAGAUAGUGGACGUUACUCGCAGAAUAAGCACCGGCUAACUCUGUGCCAGCAGCCGCGGUAAUACAGAGGGUGCAAGCGUUAAUCGGAUUUACUGGGCGUAAAGCGCGCGUAGGCGGCUAAUUAAGUCAAAUGUGAAAUCCCCGAGCUUAACUUGGGAAUUGCAUUCGAUACUGGUUAGCUAGAGUGUGGGAGAGGAUGGUAGAAUUCCAGGUGUAGCGGUGAAAUGCGUAGAGAUCUGGAGGAAUACCGAUGGCGAAGGCAGCCAUCUGGCCUAACACUGACGCUGAGGUGCGAAAGCAUGGGGAGCAAACAGGAUUAGAUACCCUGGUAGUCCAUGCCGUAAACGAUGUCUACUAGCCGUUGGGGCCUUU